This 433-nucleotide ribosomal RNA is filed under the name uncultured bacterium. RNAcentral describes it as "partial 16S ribosomal RNA". It matches the Rfam family "Bacterial small subunit ribosomal RNA", at positions 29 to 507 of the family's 1533-position model. The record is from RNAcentral.
AACGAACGCUGGCGGCAUGCCUAACACAUGCAAGUCGAACGAGACCUCCGGGUCUAGUGGCGCACGGGUGCGUAACGCGUGGUAACCUGCCCUUAGGUUCGGAAUAACUCCCCGAAAGGGGUGCUAAUACCGGAUAAUGUCUUCCGACCAAAGAUUUAUCGCCUUGUGAGGGGUCCGCGUUGGAUUAGCUUGUUGGUAUGGUAAAAGCCUACCAAGGCGACGAUCCAUAGCUGGUCUGGGAGGAUGAUCAGCCACACUGGGACUGAGACACGGCCCAGACUCCUACGGGAGGCAGCAGUGGGGAAUAUUGGACAAUGGGCGAAAGCCUGAUCCAGCAAUGCCGCGUGAGUGAUGAAGGCCUUAGGGUUGUAAAGCUCUUUUACCCGGGAUGAUAAUGACAGUACCGGGAGAAUAAGCUCCGGCUAACUCCGUG